Molecule: non-coding RNA, 224 nt
Organism: Arachis ipaensis
Lineage: Eukaryota; Viridiplantae; Streptophyta; Magnoliopsida; Fabales; Fabaceae
Source: RefSeq, a predicted model, not a curated record
UGAUUAUCCAUUUUGAUUCUCGAAAUUUAAAAUUAUCUAUAUUGGUCCUCCAGAUUCAAGUCCGAGCAUCAAUGUGGUCCCUCGACUCUUUCCGGCGAUGACUAGACAAAUGAAAUGCUGAGAUGACACCCUCCCUGCCACGCUGGAUGAUGAGUAAACGACGUCGUUUAUCCUUGGCACCUAAACAAGUUAGAAAUAAAGAAAAGCGAAAGUAGAGAAGCAGA